Molecule: unclassified non-coding RNA, 336 nt
Filed under: soil metagenome
Description: partial contains 5.8S ribosomal RNA, internal transcribed spacer 2, and large subunit ribosomal RNA
Rfam family: 5.8S ribosomal RNA (bases 1-120)
Source: RNAcentral
GAUGAAGAACGUAGCGAAAUGCGAUAAGUAAUGUGAAUUGCAGAAUUCAGUGAAUCAUCGAAUCUUUGAACGCACAUUGCGCCCGCCAGUAUUCUGGCGGGCAUGCCUGUUCGAGCGUCAUUUCAACCAUCAAGCCCCAGGCUUGUGUUGGGGACCUGCGGCUGCCGCAGGCCCUGAAAACCAGUGGCGGGCUCGCUGUCACACCGGGCGUAGUAGAUUUUAUCUCGCUCAGGGCGUGCUGCGGGUUCCGGCCGUUAAAAAGCCUCUAAUACCCAAGGUUGACCUCGGAUCAGGUAGGAAGACCCGCUGAACUUAAGCAUAUCAAUAAGCGGAGGA